GUAGCGGAAUUGGAAAUAUACAAGUUCACCACUGAUCAUGACUUAAGACAAGAAUCUCCCAACCGAAGAGAAACACAGUUGAGAUUCCACUUCGUAAUGUAUGAGGGCGAAAAGUGAUAGAAAAUGAAAAACACCUAAAGUGUAAUGACUUUAUUUUUGCACUUUCAUCAGAAAAGCAGUAAAAGUUCCUCCAAAAAAAAGUCAAGUCAAGAUCGGCUCGGAGUCAGAUUUUAAGUGCUGCCUUUAGCGCAAAACCAAGACCAUCAUUUUCUCAUGACAAGAAUUUGGAAGUGCGUCGUAAAAAAGUGUAAAGACCGAAAAAGAAAAACCCCUCUCCGAAGCAAAGUGACACCUCCACCAUCUCUUUGCCCUUUAACACGAUUAACUAAAUCUGAUUGGUAAAUUAUUUUUGCAAUUAUGCAGCCAUAUUUACGUCCAGCCACAGCCUUGCUCAAGGUAAAUGUAGCUGACAAGACACUCCAAAUAAAAUUCGAUUUCCAUUUAUUAUUUACAUUUGGACUUUAAUCAAUUAUGAAUGACAACUAAUUAGUGGCGUGCAGAGGCCAUCGCUCUUCGCGGCGUCAAAGUCGACUAAAUGUACUGUAUGUCACGGAGUGCGGACAUUGACAAAAAACCUCUCACCACUUUACAGAUUUGGGUGUCUUUUUGCUGAGGAGACUUCACUAAUCAUCUGUGAAAGUGCGUGCAGUGUGUGUGCGUGCGUGCGCGUGCCUGUUGGGUGCGUGAGCGCGGAGCGUGCACGUGUUUGAUAAUAAUAAGGCAAGUGAAAAUGAAGAGGAGCUAAACUGUGUAAGUCAUUUCUCAUUUCCUUGCUUCAGUGCCUGUCAGAAGAAAGCCCUGCAUUUUGAAUGAUGGCUCAGACAACAUAAAGUGAACAACAAACCCUGUGGCUCUGAGGAGAGAAAUGGAGGAAGAAAGAAAGAAAGAAAGAUAGAAAGAAAGAAAGAAAGAAAGAAUACUUUUUCAAAAAUGACCAAACCAACAAACAAACAAAGCAAAAUCCCAAUAUCAAUGCCUUGAUAAUACCCCUGAACAUGCCCUGAAAGUGAAACAUAAUAGAGAAAAAAAAUUACCAAUACAGUUGGCACUCGUACAGUUUUGGAAGGACCUUUCAAGGGGCUGAUUUAAUGUGAGAGCAUCAAUCCUUUAGCAGCACAGGGCCUUGACAGCAAGUGAAAGUAAUCUCUUCUUUAUUAAUGGGACUUUUCACUUUGGACCCGCGGCCUUUGGUAUUCCAUAAUAGUAGUUUCAUACUACAGACCUGAGGAAAGAACAAUAUGAAAUCAGAUCAAGUGGAUGUGUUAUGAAUGGCAGCUGUUUUCAUCUGAAGAGGCUCUAAGGACCCACUGUAUCCUACCUGACCAGCACAAUCCCCACUUCCUGCCCUUGUGUGUUUCCCGCCACUUCACUCUUCAUCCCCAGUGUCAUGCGUUCUAGCCUUUCCUAGCGUUCCUAGCACUGUUUCUGCUCAUGUGCUGCGCGUCUGUGGAAAAACCUUGAUUUCUGAUACUUGAACUGUGUAUCUGAGUCACGCAUUUGUGUCUGUUUUCCUGCGGUUUGCCAGUUUUGAUAGAAAUGACAGAGGCGCAGCAAGUGGCAAGCACACUCUGCCAGCGAUAAUGACGGCUGUGAUGAUGCUUGAAGCCGAGUCUUUAGACGAAGGGUGACCUCUCUGCCAUUCAAAACACGUCUGGAUUGCCUCUUGUGCAGCUCGCUGUUCAGUUCUCAUGAGGCCGUGUGUAUUUCAGUCUGAUUUGUCAAAGGAAAUGGCAGGCCCCGAUUUUAUGUUCAUUUUAUGUUGAAGUCAAAAUGAUGAUUGGUGAUUAGCAACGGGCUCACUAACUCCACAAUCACAUGCCGGUCGGCUCUGCUUUCCUCUAAUUUGAGGAAGAAGUCAGUAAUGUGUCUCGUGCUUAGAGAUCUCUACUUCCUAAAUUUACAUAAUCAUAAAGCUGGAGCUUUAAGUGUAUGUUGGUAUGCUCAAUGAGAGCCAGUAACAGUAAAUCACCUUUUGUUCUUUAA
This is a long non-coding RNA of Seriola aureovittata, 2043 nucleotides long. RefSeq lists it as uncharacterized. Lineage: Eukaryota; Metazoa; Chordata; Actinopteri; Carangiformes; Carangidae. The transcript is spliced from 3 exons. The record is from RefSeq and is a predicted model, not a curated record.